Molecule: long non-coding RNA, 3462 nt
Organism: Ficedula albicollis (Collared flycatcher)
Lineage: Eukaryota; Metazoa; Chordata; Aves; Passeriformes; Muscicapidae
Exons: 2
Source: RefSeq, a predicted model, not a curated record
UGAUUUUAUUUAUUAAUGAACAAUGUUCUUUAAAAUUGGCACCACACAGCAGAAAAUAUUGCCAUCACUGAACACAAUUUUCACCCAUCUCAAUUUUCACAGCAAGCUAAACUACUGAGAUUAAAAAUUGUGAAGUGGGAAAAUAUGAUGUUUUCCCUUAGCAAAAUAACAAUCCUUACACUUAAAAACAUCUUAGCUACACAUAUGACAAUGUAAGGUAGAGAAAGCAGUGAUAAACUCUAAGCCCCACAAGGAUACUUGCUGAUACAUAACUGAAGUGGGAUGUUAAUCACAUUAAGUCCUCUAAUAAACCUUAGGGCAACAAGUCAAAAACACGCUUUGUACUUUAGUUUUAAACUUUUGGUUUUUUAGCUUUUAAUUAAUUAGCUUGUGCCUUUAGUUCAAGUGUUAUUUCAGGGAGGAAGCACACUGAAAUUAUUUAGAAUUAUAUUUCUGCCAGUUACAAAUUAUCAUAUGAGGUUACCUUCACAGUUAAAAUUCAGAAUUACCAACAUUUCCAAAAUUGUGUAUACCUACCUCUCUGCACAAUUGACUGAAAAAAAUUCCAGCUCGAAGUCCAACUUUUCUGCUUUUAUAUUCCCCUCCUCUGUAGGGGAGGGAUUCAUAAUGCUUCCUACAGCAUAUUUCAAAUGAUCUAAGAAAUUUAGACCCUGCAUUUUCUUCUCUCCCUGGACAGAAGAAAUCCCUUUUCUCCUGAAAGAAUCGGAAGGUGCAAGCAAACUUUCAUGGGUUUAUGGAAGGAAGGAAAUGAAGUAAUGAUAAACUGCACACACACAAAAGCUACUAGAUUCUUCAUUCUGGUUGUAAAGAAAGCAGCUUUGCUCUGUCUGCAGAACAUGAGCAGUGCCUGAGUCAACAAGGUCUCUUACUUCAGUGAAAAUUCCUUUUUUGGUAACCAGAGAGUAGGACUUGGUGCAUUGUUAGUAAGUGAUGCAAAGCAACAGGGGAAAAAGGGUCAGUGCAAACAAGGAGGCAGCAAACAUGUUUCACACCUUCUGCAAGUCUUUGGUCCCAGCCUUGUCUGCAACAGCAACAAGUGCAGGUUAACUGAGCUUAUGGGAAAUAAAACUAAAGUUAAAAAUGCAAAAAAAAAAAAAAUAUAUCUAGCUGCUUCUCCACAUUUCUGCAGUUAAGAGCCCGUGUUCUAGUUUUUUCUGUGUCUUGCUAGGUAUUGUACAGCACUUGUAUAUAGUUUUCUAAAAGGUAGAUAAUGCAAAAGUUUUUCUUUGCUGCAUACGAUAUACAGCUGAAGUAAAAGCUGUACUUCCUAAGCAGUGUGUAAAAAAAAAACAAAAACAAACUGGUUCCAACUCAGAGAAUGACAAACUCCUCCAGUUUGACUUGGAGCCAAAAUUUUAUGUCCAGAAAGAAGUUGGUAGAGUAGUAAAUAUCACCUCCAAAUACUAUGCCUGUGAAAGAUUCAGAUUCAGAAGCAAUGAAACAAUUUUAAACACAACUUCCAGGACACGUCUCCCAUUUCAAGAAAAUACCAAAGCUGAGCUACUUUAAUUCAAAAUGCAAACAGCUGAACAGAGGGAAUUGCUCCAAGAUGGAGACUGCUGCAUACAGGAACUUCAGCAGCUCAAGUUUUAAUCUGUUGAAGAAGCAGCUGCUUAAAAACAUUGCACAUUCAAAGCAGGUUAGCUUUUCAGAUCACUGCUAGAUUUCCAGAUAGUGACACUGUAAUCUAUGGAGUGUUAGUCCUGUAACAAUUGCCUCUGGCUAGAGAAGGCUGGAAUUUGGGAUUUGCACAGUUCAGACAUGCAGAAGCUUUUGUACUACAGCUGUUGAAGAAGUAGCUCAAAGCAACAAUGAGCUCUUCCGGUUGUUUUACUUUUAUUUAAUGCUAGUGCUCCCACCAUAGGCAACAUAAAUAUUCAUAGAAGCAUUUUAGAGAAUUUGCUUUCAAGAGGUGUGCUAGUUUUAAUAGAAUAAGUGGUCAUUAAAAGCUGAAAAAAGUUCCCAUGUCCUUGUAAAGUCAGUUAAAUGCAAUUCCUUGACAAGGAAAGAAAGACUUAAGAAAGAAAGACGAUUAACAUGGCAACAAUCAUUUAUGCAGGGGAUUUCAGGAAAAAUACAGAUAAAACCUAAAGAGGUUAUAUCAAAAUGGAAGCUUUCUCAUUACUCCCAGAAUAGUUUCUUGUUUUCUUCUGAAGGACACCUGACAGGGCUGCAAGCCCCAGGCAUUCUCCCCGUGAGAAAUUAAGAAAGAAUAAAUCCUCCUCUCAUCUGGAGCAGUAUGCCCUCUGCCUCCUCCAGCAAACACUCAGAAGUAGAUGGGAAAUAACAGGAAUUAGGAGAAUACACGAAGCUUUAUCUUAGCUGUCUAUUUAUUAGUAAUACCAUUACUUAAGAGACAGACCAAAACUUGUGUCCAUUAGUCCUUUUAGCACUUGGGUUUUGGCUGCAUUUCCUCCCAACAGUGAUUUGAGAGAUGCGGCUCCAGCUGGCACAGCCAUGCUCACAGUGGGAAGGCAAAAAUAAGCACAUGAAGGUGAGAUUUGCAGCUAAAAGCAAGAGCCAUUUUCCCCUGUAUCAGUGACCUUUGACGUGAACAGACACAGCUAAGAGGUCAGAACAGAUACCACCAGCCACGAUACUUCAUCUUUCCCACCUUCCUGCUUCUGUUGCAGCAGAUCAGCUCGGUGCAGUUGCUGCACACAGGGAAUGGAUUCCUGUCUCAGUGCCACAGCGAGCACAUAGUGGUCUUUUCCCUUUUGCUCCCACUGAUUUCCAACCCUGCCCCACUUGUUCCCUCUGCACCAGAGCUUCUCUUAGCAGGUGGCACCUACUGUCAGGACAGACAUUUCCUGCAUCCGAUGUCUCCUCGGCAGCUUUCAGCCUUCCUAAAGUUCUUCAUGUGCAAGCAAACAAAAACCUCAAAAAGCUUGUUUUUGAACAACCAAAAUUGGGCUUUUUUCCCUUCCACCAAUGUGAGUUUGCAUUUUGACACAAGAUGCCUAAGGCUACGUGUUCUCCAAUUUUUCACACUAUUGAGGAAGAGCUUACUGCAAGCUGGGCAUAGCAACAGUUCAGCAAACUGCAGGAAACAUUACUUUGUCCUUUAAUACAGCUUGUCUUGGGAGACUAUGAUACUGCAAAUAUUAGCUUUUAAGCAUAUAUGUAUGUUAUGCAAGACUAGAUAGUGUCCUGCUGCUCUCUCCUGAACUCAAGGGUAACAAAAUAUCCAGCAUCUCUUACAUGUACCUCAAUCCCAACUUGGCACCUAGCAUCAUCUUGUAACAGUAAAAACUACAGAAGUGGUGGUUUAACCCCUGGAAAAACCUUCAGCAGGUUGCUUAUAAGUCAUAUUCAUGAAACCAUGGCAGAUUAUUGAAUGCUCAGGCAGAACUGGACAUCUAAUUCAUUAAAAAAAUUAUCAGGUUCUACCACUGCAUGAGCUGUAAUCACCUGAACAUCCUGAAGAUUUGAAAAAAAAAA